UACGAAGGGGGCGAGCGUUGUUCGGAAUCACUGGGCGUAAAGCGCACGUAGGCGGCUUUUUAAGUCAGGGGUGAAAUCCUGGAGCUCAACUCCAGAACUGCCUUUGAUACUGAGAAGCUUGAGUCCGGGAGAGGUGGGUGGAACUGCGAGUGUAGAGGUGAAAUUCGUAGAUAUUCGCAAGAACACCAGUGGCGAAGGCGGCUCACUGGCCCGGUACUGACGCUGAGGUGCGAAAGCGUGGGGAGCAAACAGG
RNAcentral lists this ribosomal RNA (253 nucleotides) under uncultured bacterium. RNAcentral describes it as "partial 16S ribosomal RNA". It matches the Rfam family "Bacterial small subunit ribosomal RNA", at positions 524 to 776 of the family's 1533-position model. The record is from RNAcentral.